RNAcentral lists this ribosomal RNA (292 nucleotides) under uncultured bacterium. Its description in RNAcentral is "partial 16S ribosomal RNA". It matches the Rfam family "Bacterial small subunit ribosomal RNA", at positions 505 to 796 of the family's 1533-position model. The record is from RNAcentral.
GUGCCAGCAGCCGCGGUAAUACGGAGGGUGCAAGCGUUAUCCGGAUUCAUUGGGUUUAAAGGGUGCGCAGGCGGGGCCUUAAGUCAGUGGUGAAAUCCCUUCGCUUAACGAAGGAACUGCCAUUGAUACUGAGGUUCUUGAAUCUAGUUGACGUUAGUGGAAUGUGUCAUGUAGCGGUGAAAUGCUUAGAUAUGACACAGAACACCGAUCGCGAAGGCAGCUAACGAAGCUAGUAUUGACGCUCAGGCACGACAGCAUGGGGAGCAAACAGGAUUAGAUACCCUGGUAGUCC